UACGGGGGGAGCAAGCGUUGUUCGGAUUUACUGGGCGUAAAGGGCGCGUAGGCGGCCACCGCAAGUCAAUUGUGAAAUCUCCGGGCUUAACUCGGAAAGGUCAACUGAUACUGCGGGGCUAGAGUGCGGAAGGGGCAACUGGAAUUCUCGGUGUAGCGGUGAAAUGCGUAGAUAUCGAGAGGAACACCUGCGGCGAAGGCGGGUUGCUGGGCCGACACUGACGCUGAUGCGCGAAAGCUAGGGGAGCGAACGGG
RNAcentral lists this ribosomal RNA (254 nucleotides) under uncultured bacterium. Its description in RNAcentral is "partial 16S ribosomal RNA". It matches the Rfam family "Bacterial small subunit ribosomal RNA", at positions 524 to 776 of the family's 1533-position model. The record is from RNAcentral.